AAAUCCUAAAUGUAAAAAUAGGCAGAAUUCGUCCAUAAACAUGAAAAAAAUAAUAGGCUAAGGGUAAAUCGAUAUGCUGAAAUCAUAAAUAAGGACCGAUGAGAUAGAAAAAAAUAGUAAGUAAAUAAAUGGGGUUCGAAUUCCAUAGAUAAUAUGGAAGGUAUUGUCUAUAAUGAUAGGCAAAUAAAAGACUUGCACAAAAUUUUUAUUCAUCCACUUGAGAUUUUGAAAAUAGGUUUUGAUUGAACUUUUGAAUUUAUUGAAAUUCAAUAAGUCAACAAUUGAAUUGGAUUCCGUUGGUACCAUCCAACGGAAUCGAUUGCUAAGACCCAUUUCUUAUUGAUUCAAUUAACCGAUCAACUUAACUUGUUUUGUUAUCGAACAUUUAUUUAUUUUUGAUUUCUAGCCAUUUUCGCAAAAAAUUUCGACAUAUUUUAUUAUGAAAAUAAAUCCUACUACUUCUGGUCCUGGGGUUUCCGCACUUGAAAAAAAAACCUGGGGCGUAUUGCUCAAAUCAUUGGUCCGGUACUAGAUGUAUCUUUUCCACCCGGCAAGAUGCCUAAUAUUUACAACGCUCUGGUAUUAAGGGUCGAGAUACCGCUGGUCAACAAAUUAAUGUGACUUGUGAAGUACAGCAAUUAUUAGGAAAUAAUCGAGUUAGAGCGGUAGCUAUGAGUGCUACAGAUGGUCUAACGAGAGGAAUGGAAGUAAUUGAUACAGGAGCUCCUUUAAGUGUUCCAGUCGGCGGAGCGACUCUAGGACGAAUUUUUAACGUACUUGGAGAGCCUGUGGAUAAUUUAGGUCCUGUAGAUACUCGUACAACAUCUCCUAUUCAUAGAUCUGCGCCUGCCUUUAUACAGUUAGAUACAAAAUUAUCCAUUUUUGAAACAGGAAUUAAAGUCGUAGAUCUUCUAGCCCCCUAUCGUCGUGGAGGAAAAAUCGGACUUUUUGGGGGAGCUGGAGUAGGUAAA
Molecule: RNA transcript, 971 nt
Organism: Fragaria vesca subsp. vesca
Lineage: Eukaryota; Viridiplantae; Streptophyta; Magnoliopsida; Rosales; Rosaceae
Gene name: ATP synthase subunit beta, chloroplastic-like
Exons: 1
Source: RefSeq, a predicted model, not a curated record